This is a long non-coding RNA of Cyprinus carpio carpio, 413 nucleotides long. The record is from Ensembl. NCBI's taxonomy places the organism in Eukaryota, Metazoa, Chordata, Actinopteri, Cypriniformes, Cyprinidae.
CCCAGCUAACAGGGAACGUUCCCAGAACAUUCACUAACGUUCUUUAAAAGUUGUGUAAAUGUUAGUACAAAACGUUAUUAAAAUAAUGUUUUCGGAACGUUCUUAUAACGUUGUUAAUGUUCUUAUAAGGUUGAUAGAAAACGUUCUUAGAACAACGUUCUCGGAACGUCUUUAGGACGUUAUUUGUAAUUGAUGAAUGUUCUUAUAAGGUUGACAGAAAACGUUCUUAGAACAACGUUCUCGGAACGUCUUUAGGAUGUUAUUUGUACUUGAUGAAUGUUCUUAUAAGGUUGACAGAAAACGUUCUUAGAACAACGUUCUCGGAACGUCUUUAGGACGUUAUUUGUAAUUGAUGAAUGUUCUUAUAAGGUUUGUAGAAAACGUUCUUAGAACAACGUUCUCGGAACGUCUUU